AUAGAACAGCAUGAAGACUGUAGAAAGAACACUGGGUUUGGAAUCGAGGAAACAAGUGAAUUCUGGGAAUGAAUUAUGUUUUUUGGAAACUAACCACCGGUGGGAUCUUAGAUGCAUCUAGUCGAACAGAAUUCUGGACCUGGAGUCCCAGAAUGCAGUGGGAGAGCAGGUUUGAUAGAGAGCAAGAAAAAGGGGUUGAGAGACAAUAAUUACUUAUGGACUUGCUGUUCUUUUCCAAAAAAUGGAACCUCUGGAGGGAAUCUGUACUGCAGGCAUCAAUUUAUCUCCAGAUCUAUCUGCUGUUUCCCCAAGAGACCAGGUUGGAGAUGCUGUGG
This 335-nucleotide long non-coding RNA is filed under the name Sarcophilus harrisii (Tasmanian devil). Its description in RNAcentral is "lncRNA (ENSSHAG00000025665.1)". Lineage: Eukaryota; Metazoa; Chordata; Mammalia; Dasyuromorphia; Dasyuridae. The record is from RNAcentral.